RNAcentral lists this ribosomal RNA (497 nucleotides) under uncultured bacterium. RNAcentral's name for it is "partial 16S ribosomal RNA". It matches the Rfam family "Bacterial small subunit ribosomal RNA", at positions 28 to 507 of the family's 1533-position model. The record is from RNAcentral.
GACGAACGCUGGCGACGUGCCUAAUACAUGCAAGUCGAGCGAACAGAUGAGGAGCUUGCUCCUCUGACGUUAGCGGCGGACGGGUGAGUAACACGUGGAUAACCUACCUAUAAGACUGGGAUAACUUCGGGAAACCGGAGCUAAUACCGGAUAAUAUAUUGAACCGCAUGGUUCAAUAGUGAAAGACGGUUUUGCUGUCACUUAUAGAUGGAUCCGCGCCGCAUUAGCUAGUUGGUAAGGUAACGGCUUACCAAGGGAACGAUGCGUAGCCGACCUGAGAGGGGGAUCGGCCACACUGGAACUGAGACACGGUCCAGACUCCUACGGGAGGCAGCAGUAGGGAAUGUUCCGCAAUGGGGGAAAGCCUGACGGAGCAACGGCGCGUGAGUGAUGAAGGUCUUCGGAUCGUAAAACUCUGUUAUUAGGGAAGAACAAAUGUGUAAGUAACUAUGCACGUCUUGACGGUACCUAAUCAGAAAGCCACGGCUAACUACGUG